ACUCCUACGGGAGGCAGCAGUGGGGAAUUUUGGACAAUGGGCGCAAGCCUGAUCCAGCAAUGCCGCGUGAGUGAAGAAGGCCUUCGGGUUGUAAAGCUCUUUCAGUCGAGAAGAAAAGGCUGCAGUGAAUAACUGUAGUUUAUGACGGUAUCGACAGAAGAAGCACCGGCUAACUACGUGCCAGCAGCCGCGGUAAUACGUAGGGUGCGAGCGUUAAUCGGAAUUACUGGGCGUAAAGGGUGCGCAGGCGGUUUUGUAAGUCAGAUGUGAAAUCCCCGGGCUUAACCUGGGAAUUGCGUUUGAAACUACAAGACUAGAGUGUGGCAGAGGGAGGUGGAAUUCCAUGUGUAGCAGUGAAAUGCGUAGAGAUAUGGAAGAACAUCGAUGGCGAAGGCAGCCUCCUGGGUUAACACUGACGCUCAUGCACGAAAGCGUGGGGAGCAAACAGGAUUAGAUACCCUGGUAGUC
This 468-nucleotide ribosomal RNA is filed under the name uncultured bacterium. Its description in RNAcentral is "bacterial SSU rRNA". It matches the Rfam family "Bacterial small subunit ribosomal RNA", at positions 335 to 795 of the family's 1533-position model. The record is from RNAcentral.